Molecule: ribosomal RNA, 489 nt
Filed under: uncultured bacterium
Lineage: Bacteria
Description: partial 16S ribosomal RNA
Rfam family: Bacterial small subunit ribosomal RNA
Source: RNAcentral
AUUGAACGCUGGCGGCAGGCCUAACACAUGCAAGUCGAACGGUAACAGGAAGCAGCUUGCUGCUUUGCUGACGAGUGGCGGACGGGUGAGUAAUGUCUGGGAAACUGCCUGAUGGAGGGGGAUAACUACUGGAAACGGUAGCUAAUACCGCAUAACGUCGCAAGACCAAAGAGGGGGACCUUCGGGCCUCUUGCCAUCGGAUGUGCCCAGAUGGGAUUAGCUAGUAGGUGGGGUAACGGCUCACCUAGGCGACGAUCCCUAGCUGGUCUGAGAGGAUGACCAGCCACACUGGAAGUGAGACACGGUCCAGACUCCUACGGGAGGCAGCAGUGGGAAUAUUGCACAAUGGGCGCAAGCCUGAUGCAGCCAUGCCGCGUGUAUGAAGAAGGCCUUCGGGUUGUAAAGUACUUUCAGCGGGGAGGAAGGGAGUAAAGUUAAUACCUUUGCUCAUUGACGUUACCCGCAGAAGAAGCACCGGCUAACUCCGUG